Adelges cooleyi (spruce gall adelgid) is the source of this 321-nucleotide long non-coding RNA. RefSeq lists it as uncharacterized. The record is from RefSeq and is a predicted model, not a curated record. The transcript is spliced from 9 exons. Lineage: Eukaryota; Metazoa; Arthropoda; Insecta; Hemiptera; Adelgidae.
AGAUAGUGAAUCGUCAUAUGUCCCAACAGGUGGUGAAUCGUCAAAUGUCUCUACAGGUAAUGAAUGGUCAAAUGUCUCUACAGGUAGUCAAUCGUCAUAUGUCCCAACAGAUGAUGAACAGGAGAAUGUCCAAUUAGUUAGCGUCAACCAGUCAAAAAAACCUCAAGUUUGCGGGGGUUCAUUAAAACGACUUUGUUCAACUGUCAAAUGCUGCCAGUUGUGUAAUAAGGCUCCUCCGACAAAUGACUAAUGAGACACCUUGUAUAAAAUGUUGCUGCAAUCCGUGCUGGUGCAAAAAAAAUAUCCAGAAAUGACAACAAU